CUCAACUUCUGUUUUCCUACCUGUAAAAUGGGUGCAAUAAUAUGUGCUGAAGAGAUCUGUGAUGAGAAUUAUUCUCAGAAGGAAUCAUUUUCUUUCCACCUACAAUGUUAGAUCCACCUGAAUGAAAUACGCCUUUCAUUGCGUCCUGAGAAGACGGAAGAAUCAUAAAAAGCCUUCAGAAGCCCUUGAGGAAUUUUGAGGGCAGUAAAAGCAAAGACUGUAAACCGAAGAAAAAUACACAAAGAUGUAAGAGCAGUAAGAGCAAAGUGGGGACAAGGGAUAUUGAGUAUCUGAAGGGAAAAAUAAGAAGCAUAGCCUAUCCUGGAAAAGAAAAGAAACGUCAUGGUAAAAAAACAACUGCGGUUUUUGUGAACACCUACUACGGUAAGGAACAGGCCAGCCAUAGCCCACACCCAGGUGGCUGACAAGAGCUCGCCAGAUCACAGGGCCACCUUCCUGCCUGAGAGCUGGAUGCCCUCUGCAUCUUCCUGGGCUUUACAGCACAUGGGAUCUGUUUACAUGUGGUCUCCGCAGACUCGUGUCAAGAUCCUAAGUCAGUGAAUCCCGAGGGAAGCAAAAGGCAGGGGUGGAAGCAUGGUAAGGAGGUGUAAACACCCUUUUGUAAGCCCCAUGGAGGGGUAUAGGCUUCAACAGGGAGCAGUUUAAGAUACUUUGGAGAUUGACUGUUUGGGGUUAAGUGUUGGCUCCACUACUUAUACUCAUGUGGUUUUAGAUGCUUUUCUUAAUCUCUCUGUGCUCUGGUUUCUGUAAAAUAGUAAUAAGUAUCCUAUUUAGUUAUUUUGAGGACUAAAUAGAUAAUUCCAGCCCUCCAUAUCCCUGGGUUUCUCAUUUGUAAAUUCAACCAACUGUGGGCCAAAAAUAUAUGGAAAAAAAUGGAACGUGUACUCAACAUGUACAGACAUUUUUCUUGUCAUUAUUCUCUAAGCAAUGUAGUAUUCAGCACUAUUUACAUAGCAUUUGCAGUAUAUUAGGUAUUAUAAGUAGCCUAGAGAUAAUUUAAAGGAUGUGGGAAGAUGUAUGUAGGUUACAUGCAAAUAGUACACCAUUUUAUAUAAGGGACUUGAGAAUUUUGGUAACUGAAGGGGCUCCUGGAACCAAUUUCCCAUAGAUACAGAAAAAUGACUGCAUAUGUAAAAGACUUAGCAGUGAGCCUUUUAUAAAUGGUUGCAUUAGUAUUAAUAAAGAAGUAAAUAACACCUAUAAAUAGUUACCCAGGGUUUCCCGGAUUACAGCUGCUAUGGUCUGAAUGUUUAAGUGCUCCCAGAAUUUAUAUGUUGAAACCUAGUCACCAGUGCUAUAAUAUUAAGAAAUGGGGCUUUGGGAGGUGAUUGGGAAUGGCAUUAAUAGCACAGGAACAGAAAACCAAACAUGUUCUCAUUUGUAAGUGGGAGCUGAACAAUGAGAACACAUGGACACAGGGAGGGGAACAACACAUACUGGGGCCUGUCAUGGGGAGGGGAGGAGGGAGGAACAGCAUUAGGAAAAAUAGCUAAUGCAUGCUGGGCUUAAUAUUUUGGUGAUGGGUCUAUAGGUGUAGCAAACCACCAUGGCACAUGUUUACCUAUGUAACAAACCUGCACAUUCUGAACAUGGACCUCGGAACUUAAAAAAAGAAGAUAAAAGGCUUGAGCGAGCCUGUUUGCCCCUUCCACCAUGCGAGGACACAUACAAGGCACCAUCUAUGAGGAACGAGCUCCCAACGAGCUCCCAACAGAUGCUGAUUUUGCUGGUGUCUCGAUCUUGGACAACCUCCAGAAUUGGGCUUGGGAGGGCAAGAGUAGGUGUCAUAAGUAGCUUUGACCUUGAGAAGUCUGGAGGUCACUUUAUAUGCUGCCAAAGCACCACUGUCUACUAAGUUUUUGAGGAAACCAUAUUGCUAGAGAAACUGCAAGCCUGAGCAGCCUCCAAUUGUUGAAGACUUACAUCCAUCUUGGACCUCCAAACAUUCAUAAGCAGGAAGCAGGCCUCAAAAACUAUGGCCCCCAAAUGAGGGCUUGUUCCCCAACCCCCACUUUAGACAUGGAGAAGAAGAAUAAUGGACAAGGAGGCUCCUCCCAGAAGGAUCCAAGGACCCCUGAGGUUGGUGGACAAUGGACUUCCAGCACAGAUUGGAAUCAGAACACAAUCAAGGACACUGUCUCUCCAAUAGAAACUCUUCCUAUGUCUGCCCAGAGUAAUUCCUUAACUGUGAUGGACAAAGAGCUGUGGCAUCAUUGCUUUCCAUUUUUUGAAUGAAAGUUAUGGUGCAGUAAUCCUUUCCCUGCUCCAGCAGGUGAGGGGGUGGCAGAGAGGGGCCAAUAAUUUGUCAUUUUGUUCCUAGAUUGCCAGACCAAGAGGAGCUAUGUCUUGGUCUGCAAAAAAGAACCAGACAUUGCCACAAAUCCUGGGCUUGAGCUGAAUGCAGGGACUGGUGGGUUUCUCUGUUGUGUCCCUUGGAGAGGGAGUGAAGACUUCUUAUGCAGUGCCUCUCAACAUAUUCUAACCUUCCUGCCUGCUAGGCUUGCCAUGUGUUGUGUUCCAGACAGUAAAAUUUAAGCAGAAGUUCUGACUUUCUUACUGCUGGGCUAAGGUAGUUACGUACUAGUGUACUAGUGUGUCUCCCCACAAUGAACCUCCCACCUUCUUCCCACAAAGCCCAAGGGAUAAAAUUCAGGGCAAAUUAGAAUCCAAAAGAAGGAGCCACAAAGUGGAAGAAACCUGGAUGCCUGAGUCACUAUGUGGGGAAAACACCAACUAAAAAGCUUUAUGUGAUCCACAUUUGAUAUGAGUGAGAAAUAAAUUUUUGAUUGUUUUAGGCCAUUGAUAUUUUGAGAUUGCAACAACAGCUAGUAUAAGUUAGCCCAAUGCUUUAGGAAAACGUCUAUUUGUUUAUCUAAUCUAUGAAGAUCACUGACUCAUUACUCUGUUUUGUUUUCUUAAUGAACACAAUAUACCAUGUGGGUAAGAGAUAAGGGGAAGGGGUGGAGGGGGGAUUUGGAGCCAGAAGACAAGAAGUUCUCUCUUUGCCUAUUCAUGCGUAUUUAGUAAAUUAACAUUUCCAUGCUGGGUCAUGAUUAUUUUCCCUGACCCUGCCCAGAAGAAAGCAAUCUCCAACUGUAUACUCACUGGCAUUUUGCUUUCAGGGAUACCGUUUUGUAAUUGGGCUCGGUUCAGUCCUCAUGGUCUGAAGAGAAAAUGAUAUACCAUGCUUUAAUAAGAGAUGUUCUGUCUUUAGUGCAAGACCCAGCCCACUGUUUGUAAUAAACUCUGAAGUCUGUGCUUGACAAGUACUACUUACAUACAGAGCAUGUCGUGAAGUAUAACAGAGAAGAUGAAGCCUGGUAAAAUGACACAGUUUGCUUCUCUCUUCAACAAAGGAAACUCUGAUUCUGGUUUUAGAAGGGACCGGCACCUUCUCCUUUCCCUGCCAGAUUUUCCUUCUACCAAGACUGGGGUCCAACUGUGAGCCCUGUGCUUCAGGUCAGGAGAAAUUCAGUAUGUGAAAGCAUUUUGCAAUCCGUAAAGCUUAAAUAUGCAUGCACGUUGUGAGGCAAUAUGGUAUAAAGGAAAGCAGAGGUUUAGACGUCAGUCCCACUCAUUUUAAAUCCUGGGUCCACUGCCCUCUAGCUAGGUAAUUCUUGGAAUGUUUCUCAACUUCUCUGAUCUUCAGUUCCCUCCACUAUAAAAUAAGAUCUAUAAGACCUACUACUUAGGGUGGGAAUAAAAUCAAUAACAUGUGAAUACCUAGCUCAGUGUCUGGUACAUGUUGGUGCUCAAUAAAUGUGUAAUUCCUUCCUUUCCCUUUCCUACCCACAUGCUGUCCUCAGGGUAGAACACAUAGAUGAUUCUUUCUCGUGCCCUGCCUGCCUCAGUACAUUUCUGGAUGUACGGAUUGAGACUUCCUGACUUACGAUUGCAUAAACUCCACAGCAAGUAUCUUUGGCUGUGUUAGUGCAAAUCCCUUGAAUAAUGUCCCAGUUCUCCUCUACGGCAGACUCCGUUGGAUUAAGAAAGAAGGCAACAGAAUGGAAAGAGCAUUCAACUUGGUGUCAAGUCCUGGGUACAGAUCUCUUUUCCAGCCUGUGCACUGUUGGUUAAAUUAGAAAUCUCUCUAAACCCCAAUUUACUCAUAUGGAAAAUGUCAGUUAUAGCUUCCAUAAAAGAACUUCAUGACAUAAAAAAACCUAGCACAAAUAUAAGGUAUUUCAGUAUACUUCCAGUAUAUCUUUGCUUACUCUUAUUGUCCUAUGUGUUAAUCCUACUAAAAAGCCUUGUGUCCCAUGUGUCUUCUCCCACACCUACUGAGUUUGUAAGGCAAGGUAGGUGCUUUGGGCAGGCAUCCAUCCAUGGCAUCACUUCAUCUAUCUUUGCUCAUGUUCAAGAAUGGUUUGGUUUCUUUCAUGCGCGUCCGUGUGAAGAGACCACCAAACAGGCUUUGUGUGAGCAACAUGGCUGUUUAUUUCACCUGGGUGCAGGCGGGCUGAGUCCGAAAAGAGAGUCAGCGAAGGGAGAUGGGGCGGGGCCAUUUUAUAGGAUUUGGGAAGGUAAUGGAAAAUUACAGUCAAAGGGCGUUGUUCUCUGGU
RNAcentral lists this long non-coding RNA (4583 nucleotides) under Homo sapiens (human). RNAcentral's name for it is "HSALNT0121026". Lineage: Eukaryota; Metazoa; Chordata; Mammalia; Primates; Hominidae. The record is from RNAcentral.